UUUAUUUGAGAGUUUGAUCCUGGCUCAGGAUGAACGCUGGCGGCGUGCCUAACACAUGCAAGUUGAGCGAUUUACUUCGGUAAAGAGCGGCGGACGGGUGAGUAACGCGUGGGUAACCUACCCUGUACACACGGAUAACAUACCGAAAGGUAUGCUAAUACGGGAUAAUAUAUUUGAGAGGCAUCUCUUAAAUAUCAAAGGUGAGCCAGUACAGGAUGGACCCGCGUCUGAUUAGCUAGUUGGUAAGGUAACGGCUUACCAAGGCGACGAUCAGUAGCCGACCUGAGAGGGUGAUCGGCCACAUUGGAACUGAGACACGGUCCAAACUCCUACGGGAGGCAGCAGUGGGGAAUAUUGCACAAUGGGCGAAAGCCUGAUGCAGCAACGCCGCGU
RNAcentral lists this ribosomal RNA (393 nucleotides) under Clostridioides difficile. RNAcentral's name for it is "bacterial SSU rRNA". It matches the Rfam family "Bacterial small subunit ribosomal RNA", at positions 1 to 402 of the family's 1533-position model. The record is from RNAcentral. Lineage: Bacteria; Bacillati; Bacillota; Clostridia; Peptostreptococcales; Peptostreptococcaceae.